RNAcentral lists this ribosomal RNA (492 nucleotides) under uncultured bacterium. RNAcentral's name for it is "partial 16S ribosomal RNA". It matches the Rfam family "Bacterial small subunit ribosomal RNA", at positions 29 to 507 of the family's 1533-position model. The record is from RNAcentral.
AGUGAACGCUGGCGGUAGGCCUAGCACAUGCAAGUCGAACGGCAGCACAGUAAGAGCUUGCUCUUACGGGUGGCGAGUGGCGGACGGGUGAGGAAUACAUCGGAAUCUACUUUUUCGUGGGGGAUAACGUAGGGAAACUUACGCUAAUACCGCAUACGACCUACGGGUGAAAGCAGGGGAUCUUCGGACCUUGCGCGAUUGAAUGAGCCGAUGUCGGAUUAGCUAGUUGGCGGGGUAAAGGCCAACCAAGGCGACGAUCCGUAGCUGGUCUGAGAGGAUGAUCAGCCACACUGGAACUGAGACACGGUCCAGACGCCUACGGGAGGAAGCAGUGGGGAAUAUUGGACAAAGGGCGCAAGCCUGAUCCAGCCAUACCGCGUGAGUGAAGAAGGCCUUCGGGUUGUAAAGCCCUUUUGUUGGGAAAGAAAAGCAGCAGGUUAAUACCCCGCUGUUCUGACGGUACCCAAAGAAUAAGCACCGGCUAACUUCGUG